RNAcentral lists this long non-coding RNA (581 nucleotides) under Homo sapiens (human). RNAcentral describes it as "non-protein coding lnc-TMEM250-1:6". The record is from RNAcentral. Lineage: Eukaryota; Metazoa; Chordata; Mammalia; Primates; Hominidae.
GCGGCGCGGGACCCGGAAGUGGCUCCGGCAGGGGCUCUGCAGCCAGGGGGCCCGGCGCGGCGCGGCGCAGGCCCGGUGCUCACGCGGAGUUGGCCGGGGCCCGUUGCGUCUCUGCGGCCCCGAGGAAACAGUCCUGGGUCCAUGGGCCGGGCCGAGCGGGCGUCUGCAGAAACGCAGGGACCCGGAUGGAGCCGCGGGCCGCGAGACCCUGCGGGGACACAGCUCCGCCGAGUCGCGUUUGAGUGGCACCGCCAUGGCCGGGGUCCCGGCCGGGGCGAGCUCCAGGCCAAGGCCGGCCUUAAAUAGGGCCGCUCUGGCCCCUGCACCCCGUGGAGGAGCCGGGCGGAGGGAGAGGGCGAGGCCGACGCCUCCCCCCAGGGUCAGCUGCGGGCUCCCAGGCCUAGGCGCCCAUGACCCCUACGCCAACAGCCGCCUGGACACCGCCGCCGCCACUGCGACCUAGCGCCGCCGCCGCCGGGGCCCAAUGCCGGUCAUGCCCAUUCCGCGGCGGGUGCGCUCCUUCCACGGCCCGCACACCACCUGCCUGCAUGCGGCCUGCGGGCCCGUGCGCGCCUCCCACC